Molecule: ribosomal RNA, 855 nt
Filed under: uncultured bacterium
Lineage: Bacteria
Description: bacterial SSU rRNA
Rfam family: Bacterial small subunit ribosomal RNA
Source: RNAcentral
UACGAAGGGACCUAGCGUAGUUCGGAAUUACUGGGCUUAAAGAGUUCGUAGGUGGUUGAAAAAGUUGGUGGUGAAAUCCCAGAGCUUAACUCUGGAACUGCCAUCAAAACUUUUCAGCUAGAGUAUGAUAGAGGAAAGCAGAAUUUCUAGUGUAGAGGUGAAAUUCGUAGAUAUUAGAAAGAAUACCAAUUGCGAAGGCAGCUUUCUGGAUCAUAACUGACACUGAGGAACGAAAGCAUGGGUAGCGAAGAGGAUUAGAUACCCUCGUAGUCCAUGCCGUAAACGAUGUGUGUUAGACGUUGGAAAUUUAUUUUCAGUGUCGCAGUGAAAACGAUAAACACACCGCCUGGGGAGUACGACCGCAAGGUUAAAACUCAAAUGAAUUGACGGGGACCCGCACAAGUAGUGGAGCAUGUGGUUUAAUUCGAAGAUACGCGCAGAACCUUACCAACACUUGACAUGUUCGUCGCGACUUUAAGAGAUUAAAGUUUUCGGUUCGGCCGGACGAAACACAGGUGCUGCAUGGCUGUCGUCAGCUCGUGUCGUGAGAUGUUGGGUUAAGUCCCGCAACGAGCGCAACCCUCACUUUUAGUUGCCAUCAUUAAGUUGGGCACUCUGAAAGAACUGCCAGUGAUAAGCUGGAGGAAGGUGGGGAUGACGUCAAGUCCUCAUGGCCCUUACGUGUUGGGCUACACACGUGCUACAAUGGUAUAUACAACAGGAAGCAAGACGGCGACGUUAAGCAAAUCCUCAAAAGAUACCUCAGUUCGGAUUGCACUCUGCAACUCGAGUGCAUGAAGCUGGAAUUACUAGUAAUCGUGGAUCAGCGUGCCACGGUGAAUGCGUUCCCGGGUC